This is a long non-coding RNA of Clupea harengus (Atlantic herring), 1226 nucleotides long. The record is from Ensembl. Lineage: Eukaryota; Metazoa; Chordata; Actinopteri; Clupeiformes; Clupeidae.
CAGCCAACAGAACAUCACUGCACCUGGAAUAAGUCUGCUCCCUGGCCCUAGCUCCCUCCAGCUGCGCUGAUGUUCAGUGUAGCAGGGCCUGUGGACCACAAACUCCUUCUAGGUGGUGAGAUGAUGGGUGCUGCAAGAGAAUGUCCUGGGGCUUUCACCCUGGCUGGAGAUGGAGGAGGUGCUGCAGCCUCCCCGUCCUCAGCACUCCUGCUCAAUCUUUGACAGGAAACAGAAGACAGUAUAGCAUAUUUUAGUGAAUAAUUUCUCAUGCAAAAUGGUGCCAAAUGGCUACCUCAUUAACGGCAAUCAAAAUAUUAUUAUUUAUUUAAAAACGUUAACAAUAAAUUACUAUUAGGUAUGUAAAUUUACACAUUUUUAUAUUUAUAAUUUGGCUAUUCUUUAUUCCAGUGUCAGUUAAAUGAAAUCCCCGCCGAUAGGCUUAGUAGCCCAUAAAUAGUUUUUACUGAAGGUAAUUUAUUCAGGAUAUGUGCUGUGGUGAUCAGUUAUGCUUCGGUUACCCACAUAUGGGUUAAUGUGCAUCCGGCCCGAGUAAACGCGCACGGCAUACUGCAUUUUGCCGAUGCCUAGUUUAUAAUUCAGUUCGGCAACAGAAAGUGAAUGGGGAGGGUCUCCUUUGAAGCUUCCGAGAUCAAGUGCAGGACGACAGUCUACUUUUCAUCCUUUGAGCCUUGGUAAGCCUGCCUUUUGUCCUUGAUCUUUGUCUACAAAAUCAAUAAUGGGGAGCAAAAUCACCCAUGUGGCCAACGCCUCGGGGAUGCCCAUCCGGGUUUACUACAGCACAGAUAAAAUGCGGCUGGAGGAGCUGGUGAUGGAAGUUAAAGUCAGUGGGGAUGGCUCUGUGACUACAGGAGCGAGCCAAUCAAUGAAGAUGAUUUUCAAAGCCGACACCCGUGCCCGCUGCAUACUCAUUCCUGCAGACGAGUACGGCAAAAUUCUAGAAGCAGGGCCCCUUUACGUCAGCGUCUUUUGGGUUUGCUCCCACUGCAAUAGAGAAUUUGUGAAGUCCAUCUCUGAGAAUUUCUGCAUCCCCACCAACAGGUCCUUUAUUGUGACGAAAAAAGGCCACAUAAAGUGGCAGGGAUUAGGGGAAAACAUUUGGCUAGAUGAGGAUGGCAUCAAACACUAAUGAACCUCUCAGGCAUUAAAGUAAAUUGUUUUACCUUUAGGGCUACAAUGUCUUGUCACUGGGGUGUUACCUUCAAGGA